Molecule: unclassified non-coding RNA, 291 nt
Filed under: uncultured fungus
Lineage: Eukaryota; Fungi
Description: partial contains 5.8S rRNA, ITS2 and 28S rRNA
Rfam family: Eukaryotic large subunit ribosomal RNA
Source: RNAcentral
AAGGAGUCUAACACGUAUGCGAGUAGUAAGGUGGCAAACCCAUACGCGUAAUGAAAGUGGAUGGAGGUGGGAUCCUUUACCGGAGCACCAUCGACCGAUCCGCAUUUUUAAUGAUGGAUUUGAGUAAGAGCACGUAUGUUGGAACCCGAAAGAUGGUGAACUAUGCCUGAAUAGGGUGAAGCCAGAGGAAACUCUGGUGGAGGCUCGUAGCGGUUCUGACGUGCAAAUCGAUCGUCAAAUUUGGGUAUAGGGGCGAAAGACUAAUCGAACUAUCUAGUAGCUGGUUCCUGC